UUUUUUCUCCAUUUUCAACCCUUGACGAAAGACUCUCGACUUUCGACCCUGGGCUUUCGACCCUCGACUUUUGACCCUCGACUUUUGACCCUCGACAUUCGACCCUCGACCUUAUGACCCUCGACAAUCGACUCGUCACACGUGGUUGACUUGUUGUGAAUCCGCUCACUGCCACUGGGUAACUCUAUUUAUAUUGUGAGUGUAUUAUUGUAAGUUUUGCGUUUAAGCGACGAAAUUGGUAAAUAUUGCAUCAUUAUUUUGAACGUUUACAAAAUACAGUAAGUAAACCAUUUAUUUUAUCGUUUCUUGUGUUUUAAAGAGUCGCUUGUAGUGCAUUUUUGCUCCUUGAUUCCUUGAAUAUUUAGAAUUGCAGACCGAAUAAGGAAUGCACGUUGGCGCCACCUGUACGUUUCAACUUACUACUUUUGUGUUGACACUAUACUCUAAAUAUAAUACACUGUACUGUAAUGUACUGUAAUAAUGUUUCUAAUUUGAAAAAUGGCGUUUAUUUGUACCGUAGAAUGCGUACUGUUGUUUUUAGUAUAUAAUUUCCGCUGUGGCCUGUGAGGGCCCCGCUACCCGAGCGCUCCUUACGAUUUUAAAACGGCGACGACAACGGCCAAAACAAACUCCUUCAAAUAAAUGGUAGUAAAGAUAAUUCGUCUAUAUUAUCAAUCGUAUGAAUUUAAUACAGUCUUAGAAGUUGAAGACAUGGGUUUUAUGGUUGGGAAGACUUCUGCUGAACCAAGUUUGAAGUUGCACUUGUUGCGGUUUGAAAUGCAGCCGUUGUAUCAAUUAAGACGUGAAAAUCUGUGAUUUGGCGUAAACAGAGCGAGGACAAUGUCUAAAUUAUUCAUAAAUUGUAAUUAUUCAAUUCUUUUCAAUGAUAAAUGAUCUAUUGUAUUGGUAGCCGUUGCCGUCCUAAAAUCGUAAGGUUUCUACUCUCUACUUUGUUAAACUGACCUGGACGGAGCUCGAAGUAGAGAAAAAAUAUGGCCUGCCAGUCUAAAAUUUUUCGGCAGGUAAAAUAAAUUUUAGCCUGCCAUUUUUAUUCAUUGAUACUGCCAAAAUGGCGAUGUCUCAAGACUCAAAUGAGUCGUAUUGUACUAAAAAUCAAUGUUUUCAUGAUAUAUAUUGCAUUUUUAUUGUUUUUAAACUUGUCUAUUUCACUACAGUAAACUUGGAAUUUACAUUUCAAAUAUAAACGUAUUUUAUAGUCUACUAAAUGAUUUAGUAUAUUAUAAGAGUUGUGGUAAUGCACCAGUCAAUGUAAAUCCCCCCCCCCCCCAAACCGGGGAGGGGCCAGGGAUUUAGUGGGGAAAGUGGUCAGUUUUGAUUGUAAAUAUGUCCCCGAUGAUGGGGACUUGGAUGACAUUUUCUCUUUCGGUAGACGAUACGGGGAUGAAAGCGGGGGAAUGGAUUCAGUGGUUAACAUACAUAUCCUGUGUUGCUGUUUUAGUUUUCUUUACAAGAAAAGUUUAAAUACAAUAGCCAAAUGAAUUUGAUUUUCUAUUGCCUAUCUAUGAAAUACCGGUAUAACAAAACUAUUUUCCUGGGGUUGAGAGACAUGUGGGGACAUUGAUUAAUUACCUUUCCCCGGGGGUGGGGACAAUUUUGCUCUUACUACCCCUCUAAGUCAAAAUCCCCACCCCUCCCCGGUUGGGGGGGCGGGGGUUUACAUUGACUGGUGCAUAAGCAAAUGAAAUGAAAUAUAUCCAAUAGAUAGAAGGGGGGCCGGGGGUUUACAUUGACUGGUGCAUAAGCAAAUGAAAUGAAAUGUAUCUAAUAGAUAGAAUCACCUGCAUUUUUUUACCUUGGCAGUUCAAAUUUGUUUUUGCCUGCCAUUUCUAAAAUAAUUGGCCUGCUUUUAGACAUUGGCAGACUGCUAUUUAGAGCCCUGCGUUGUUAAACAAUAAAUUGUGGAAUAUAUGAUGGCCGAUAUUAGGGCCUGUCUGCUGCAUGGAGAUGCAACUAUGUUACAAGAUGUGACUAUGUUACCCUCAAAACAAUUGCCUGUGCAAAAAAAUAUUGUUUACUAAAAAUUGUACAAAAUACACAUCGGGUGAAUAGUUUCAUGACACUGCGAAAACUAUAAAAUUUGAAAGCAAAUAGAUUGAAGAUAAAGGUUUUUUAUUUGUUAAUAUUUAUUUUAUUGUUUCAACGAUGUGAGUCCUUAUAUAUAUAUAGACAUGAAUACAAACUUUUGCCCAAAUUGUAUUAUAAUGUAUUAAAAAUAUAUUAUUAAUGCAUGGAUGGAGAAGUUCAUAGGGAGUCGAAGUAACUAACUCAAUUGUUUUUCUGACAUUGUUUUACUGACAUUGGUUCAUUGAGAAAUCUGGAGUUUUAUUAUCUUGCUGGAGCUAGUUUGUCUAAGGCAGCUAGGGUCUGAAAUUUAAAAUUUUUAUCAGUACCCCACUGGGAUACCAGGAUUCAACGUUAAUUAGUUACCAUAAGUUUUGGCAUGAACCACCACAGAAGUAUACAGUAGAUGUCUCUCGCUCAUUGUAUAACUAAAUAAGAACAUGCAGGUAACAAAAAAUAUUUAGAACAACAUAUUCACGUGAACAUAGCAAUAACACUCGGCCAGCUUUAGGUGAGCUAGCCGCAGGGUCUUGAUUUGCGUUUAUAUAUGGCAAAUUCCCAGCCCGGUCACCCAAGAUCUUUGGAUAGUUGAGAUCUCGCUUAGGCCGGCCAGCUCGAUUUCCAUAUAAAUGCAAAAUGAAAUUUAGCAGGAAAUAAUAACAAAGGUGGGAUCUCACCCCUAAACCAGACCAGCUCGGGCUGACUUGCCCGAUAUAAACAUGCAGCCCCUUAGACAGUAGCUCCAGCAAGAUUUAAAACUCCACAUUUUUCAAUGAACCAAUGUCGGUAAAACAAUUAGCCCUUUAAUGCACAUUAUAGAUUUGGAGUUAUAGUCACCGGACCCUAUUAAUUAACUUCUCCAUCUAUGCAUUUAUAAUAUAUUUUUAAUACAUUUAAUUACUGGUGAGCAAUAUUAAAUCAAUAUGGGCAAAAAUUUGUGUUGCCUGGGAAAUGCUCGAUCCCCACAAUCAUUCAUUGUCAUAUAUACAGGGGUUUCAGAAUGAUUUGAAGUAGGAGGUUCUACCAAAAAAGUAGCCGGCUGUGCCAACUGAUAGUUAAAAAAUCUCGCGGAGAGGGUGGCGUGCCCUCGCAUGAAAAUUUAAAAAAAAUUCGCCGCAAAUUAACAAUCAAAUAAUAUAGAAUACGUAAAAAGACAAAGUACAACUGUUAACAUGUUAGAUUUAGAUGUCAUUUGCAUUUAUACUUGUAAGUGACAUUAUGUACUUUAGUGUGCUACUAGUAGUUUAAUUUUUACAGCUGCAUGAACAGAAUGACAAUGUACACUACAGUAAUAGUAUUAAUUUGUGAGUCCGAAAUCAUUAAUCAAAUGAUGUUAUACUUGCAUGUAUGUACGUACGUAGAACUUCACUUCAUCACUUUUUCUUUCUUUUGCUAUGUUUGGUACUAUGUAUUAUAAUUUAUCUUAUUGAUCUUCCAAAAUAAGUGAUGUUUUGCUUGAAUUCAGGGCUUGAAUUUUAUCGCGGCAAUUGCCGUAGAGGGAGAACAAAAUACCGUGGAUCAUUGCGGCAACGACGGCAAUUUUUUGCCGUAUAGUAUAAUUUUUAAACUGUUCACUGUGCAUUACUAUUUUGAUACUUGAAUUCAGAUGUUGAUCAAAUCAUCCGUAAAUUACUCUUUUAAUCUCAGUUUUCUUCGAAAAAAAACACUAAAGAAAUACGUAAACAUGUUUCUAUAGCUUGUCAGCAAUCCAAAUUAACAAUAAAAUUAAAUUUUUAUUACAGUAAUUUGAAAAAACUGCCGCGUGGAAACUCUACGGCAAUUUUUAACACCAUUGCCGUCGAUUGAUUUCAGGGAAAUUCGAGGCCUCCUUGAAUUCCAAUUGGAACAUAACAAACAUCGUGUUGGUUCGCUUGUACCUUUGUAUAUAAAAUUUUUCCUGUGACCAGACGAAAAGUAGCCGGCGGUAAAAGUUCAAGUAGCCGGCGGAACUCCGCCGGCUUAUUCUGAAACCCCUGUAAUAUAUAGGACUCACAUUGUUGAAACAAUAAAAUAAAUUAAACAAAUAAAAAACCUUUCUCUUCGAUUUAUUUGCUUUCAAAUUUUAUACUUUUCGCGGUGUCAUGAAACUAUCACCCCCUCCUCCCGUCUGUGUGUUUUGUAGUUUGUACAAUUUUUAAAGCCCAUACAGCAACGCGACGCGAAUUUUCAGUUUUCAAUGAUAUUUAUAAUUUAACUUUAAUAUUUUGCAAUGUUUUUCAAAUAUUCGGCCGGGAACCACUUAAGCAAUUUUAGCUAUACGCGUAUUCAGUCUCAGAAACGUUUGUGCUGACAUGCAGCUGAGCUAACAAGCAACAUUCCAUGGAAAAGCUUCGUGUUUGUAUCAUUUGUACGGAAAUUUCCACGCAACAAACUCGCACUUCCAUGCAACACAGUUUCAUAGCACUGUCAUUUCCAAAGCACAGCUCAAUGUAGCACAGACCCCACAGUCACAGAUGAGGUAAAUACAGAUGUGAAUCUCCUGUGAAAUUGCUGAUUGUUUUGUGUCACACGGAAUUCUCACUUCCGGUGAGCGCUGGCAAGUGUCGUUCUGAAAUUUAAUAAGGAAAGAGAUAGGAAAACGCCGUUCGAAAGACGAAAAAUUGUUUUUUUAAAAAGUCUACGCUACCGACGGCUAUUUUUGGAAUUAAUUCUUCAAGAGUAACGGUAAGCGAUCACUUUUAUUGAUUUCUUUUUAUUAAAAGUGUUAAUAUAACAUUUUAUUUAGCAAAAGUUUGUUUUUUUCCCUAUCUACUUCUUAUUAAAAUCGUGAAAUACACUUGCUGGGAAUUUCAGAUGCUCAUGUAUAAAUAACAAAACAGCGAAUGAUAUAAAUGCCUCAAAACAUAACUCUCGCAUAAAAAAAACAUGAAUACUUCUAUAAUAUGUAUAGUUUUAUUCCUCUGCAUUAUCAAAAUUUAAUAAAAUAGUGAAUUAACACAAUUUUAAAGUUUAUUUAAUCCGUGUGACACAUUUUCACAGGAGAUUCACAUCUGUAUUACCUCAUCUGUGCCACAGUCGUAAUUCUACGCAAUUAACACAGUCGCAUUUCCGGCAUGCAGCAGAGGUGGCCCUUAUCGAUAUCGGCCACCGUAGGAAUAUUCUUCGUGCAUUCCUCUAUUUUUGCUCUAUGCCAUUUCGACUUUGGCUGUUUUGUACUACAGCUUUUGUAGGUUGAAAGUUGAAACUUUACACUUUCAAGUUAGUCAUAAGUAACAUUUAAAAGUAACAUUUGUCAUAGGUAACAUUUAAAAAGAUUUAAACUCUUCCGUGCGUAUGAAAAACGCGUGAAUGGUGAGCAGACUUUAGUUAGUUCGGGCAAGGCAACACGUUAGAAUAAGAUUUGUUUUAUUUUCCUUGAAAAAAUAAAUAAAUAUUUGGUUUGGGUGCCCUGUUCUUUCAUAAUACUGAUACACGAGUCGCUCGCGACCCAUCAAAGAAGCAGCUUAUUUUCGCUCGUAUAAAUUGUCCUAUAAUGUCAAUGUAGAUAUACAGCCAAUUCAAAAAAGAUUGUCCUUUGGCUUUGCAAACCUUAAACUCUGGCUUAAGCCUUAAACUCUAAGCGCGCAAAGCUUAAUGGGAGCACAAGUUUCAAGCUUAGCAGUUGAAUAUUACAGCUAUUUGUCAAUUGUUUUCGUAAGGAGAUAUUAGAAACCUUACGAUUUUAGGACGGCAACGCGACGACAACGGCCAAAAUAAACUCUUUCAAACAAAUGGUAGUAAAGAUAAUUCGUGGUAUAUUAUCAAUCGUAUGAAUUUAAUACAGUUUUAGAAGUUGAAGACAUGGGUUUUAUGGUUGGGAAGAGUUCUGCUGAAUCCAUCCAUGCAUGCAGUUUGAAUUGAACUGAGUUGCACUUAUUGCGGCUUGAAAUGCAGCCGUUGUAUCAAGACGUGGAAAUCUGUGAUUUGGCGUUGUGAACAGAGCGAGGACAAUGUCUAAAUUAUUCAUAAUAUUGUAAUUAUUCAAUUCUUUCAGGCCUUAAAAUAUCUUUUACAAAGCCGUCUGACAAAAUGUCCAGUGACGUUGAGUUUGGGUCGGACAUAUGUUCGAUGACCUUCAGUUCAGUUUUGACUCGGAAAUAAGUCUGAAUGACACAAAUGAAUAAACGGUAAAUGUUGUAAAGAUAUUAAAUAAUUUGUUUCUUUCAUACUUAUUUCCAGGCCAAAAUUAACUUGCUUGCCAGAACAGCAGUGUUAAAAAAGACUUCGACAACUUAAGCCCGUUUUCCACUUCACCAUUUCGGUCGCCGCCCCACGCUCGACUACGUUAAAACAACAAUUCCAGUUCACCUUUUAUACAAUGGUACUCUGAUUUUCCAUUUAACAUACAAGCCUCUAGUCCUGGGUUAUAGGGUACAUUUUGAUUUACGUCGGACAAAGCUACAGUUUGGUCGGACACCAGUUCACUUGGGUCGGACAAACAAUAAACCUCAGUUUCACUUUGGGUGGACAGAAUGUCCGGUGGUUUUCUCUCUACGUCGGACAGUUUCACGAAUGGGUCGGACAAUGUCCGUGACCGACCCAUAUUUUAAGACCUGUCUUUUCAAUGAUCGAUCUAUUGUAUUGGUAGCCGAUGCCGUCGCGUUGCCGUCCUAAAAUCGUAAGGUUCAGUACCGUAGCAAGCUCGAUAAUUAGGGGGGGGUCAUAAUAUUAAUAUAUUAUUAAUAUAUUCGUGUUCUGCGUUAUUAAUUUCUUUUGAAAUCGAUUGUUUUUAUGGUCUGUGAACACGAAUAUAUGAAUAUGAGCCCCCAUUAUCGAGCUUGCUACGGCACUGAGGUCUAUACCAUGUCUCUAAGAAAUGGGCCCCAUAUAUGAUUUCUAAACUGAUUAAAUCACUGUGAUGCUCCCAUUAUGCUUUCAAGCUUAGAGUCUACGGUUUAGAGUUUAAGGUUUGCAAAGGACAACCUUUUUUGAAUUAGCUGUAUACAUUUUAAUAUGAACUGGCCUUGAAUAGAGUUAUUCAGUCUACAUGUCAUCAACUUCCUUGACCAGAGGAUGAACAUAUUGAAGAAGACGACACUAUUAACAAUUUGAAAGAGAUCCUUGAUGCAAAGUCACCCACAGAGUUAAUUACUGCAAGUAGAGUUCUGGUCAGUCAAAUAUUCAGGCCUGAUGAUGUUUCUUGCAGCGUUCGUAACGUUGAUACCAUGAGCAUGGCAACUGAGAGAGCUGUGUCACACUAUAACAAUAUCAAGACACCUGAGAGAGCAUCUUUUAAGCCAGAAACAAUCAACUCAAUCAUGCACGCAAGUUUCGUUAAAUGGAAAAGGGAUUUCUGUAUUUUUGAUCCGAGACCUGCAGUUUAUUAAUUCCUAAAAAGAAAUGAUAGACGCAAACGAGGAACUUUAUCAGAAUCAGGAUUUUAUCAAGAAAUUUUUUAUGCGUGAAAAUGGAUUGCAUGGGGGUCAAACCUACCAUUAUAGGUCAAUUAGACAAGAUAUAUUGUGUUACUAUGCUAUAUAACUAUGUUACUAACUGUUGUAUUGGAAAGCAACCGAACGUUUGCUUAAAUAGAUUUAGAAACGAAUGGUUUUAACUCAAGUUAAUUGCAUGUCUGUCUUGCGCAAGGGCCCUAAUACACACUUUACCCCAGUAGUCAAAAUUCCUUAAAAAAUGCCCUGUUGUAUGCAUGGCAGGAUUUUACUGUGGUCAUAACAUCCGUUGAUAACAAAGACGCCUUUAGCAUGUCUCCCACAACCAAAUUCAAACGAUGGGCAGUACAAUGGAUGCAUGUAAACAAGCCAGUUCUACGACUCCUGUUAACCGACCAGACAUCACUGCUGGACUUCAGAGAUCAGGUCUUUCGUAACUGUUGAAAACUUGUAAGGUUAUCAAACUCUUAAAGGAUUUAAACAUACUUUGAUGCUGACUAUUUACAAUCUCUUAUUAAUAUUUUAUUAUCUAGUUUAAGCAAUGAGCGACGUCACAUAUACAACUGAACCUCCCAUUGGGUAAGUGUUUGCAAGUACUGUACACUAUCAAAUUAUAAAUACAGUGACACUUUUAAUAAAAUAAAGAGCUAAAUUUUUCUGUUUAUUUUCAGUGUUGAGUGUGAUCUGAAUACAACUUAUUAUCCUCACCUCCUUUUGAUACCUGCUGUAAGUUUUGGGUUAUUUAAUUUUUGUAUUAUUUAUAUUAUAAAUCAUUAGCCCCCUUGAAAUUUCUAAGCAUCGGUCUUUUUUUCAUCGGUCUGAAUUUCCAUAAUUGUUUUUGAAUGUUUUUUAAAGAUUUACCAUGUAUACUAGCUGUCAAUGUAAAAACUGAACUUUUACCACUACUGGUUAUAGAUUUCUCGUAUAGUAAAUUGGUAAAAACCAUGAUGUUUAAUUUUUACCCUUAUAAUGGUAGUUUUCUGGUAAAUAUUAAAUACUGAUUGUAUUGCAUUGUAUUGCAUUGCAUUGCAUUGCAUUGCAUUGCAUUGCAUUUGUAAUUUAUAUACCGUAACUAAUAUGGACGAUCGCUUUCAUGCAGGGGAUAAUUAUCACCAUAUUGUCAUUUUUACAACGAAGAAGUAGUUUUAAGAAAGAGGUUUGCGGAGGUCGACCUGGACUUGUUGUGUGAGUAUAUAGUAUACAUUAACAUAAACAUUCCUGUGACAAUGGACCAUUCCCCAAUUAACCAAAAUUUUGAACUCAACAAGUCUAUACAAUAAUUUCAUCACAGCUUCAAAGAGC
This is a non-coding RNA of Paramuricea clavata, 8753 nucleotides long. Lineage: Eukaryota; Metazoa; Cnidaria; Anthozoa; Malacalcyonacea; Plexauridae. The record is from the annotation of a GenBank genome assembly.